RNAcentral lists this unclassified non-coding RNA (303 nucleotides) under Hevea brasiliensis (rubber tree). Lineage: Eukaryota; Viridiplantae; Streptophyta; Magnoliopsida; Malpighiales; Euphorbiaceae. The record is from RNAcentral.
ACUUACGCUUCUUUAGACGUUUCUGCACACGACAAGGUUCAACUAAUUAGUUUUAUCCUACAAAUUACAAAACCGCAAAUACAUGUUUGUACAAGUGCACAUACACCUGUAUGCAAGCAUGUGUUAAUAUAUGUGUAAGCAUCCAUCUGUUCAUAUUAAAUAAGAUAAGAACUCUAUUCUAGCACUGAGAUUAUACCAAGGUUGGUUACAGUUUCACAGGAUUAUAUGUUCCACUAUCACUUCCAGAACAACAAUUAAAAUAACAAACAGAAAUAGAAAGUUCUUGACCUUCAAAGAAUCUAG